ACACGCCCGCCGGGAGAGUCUGGAAUUCCAGCGCCGAAGGAGCAACCGCCCCGGUCCCUCUCAGGCAAAUGGACCGGUGGGACGUG
This 86-nucleotide non-coding RNA is filed under the name Thalassovita sp. Its description in RNAcentral is "Thalassobius sp. Glycine sequence". It matches the Rfam family "Glycine riboswitch aptamer". From Rfam's summary of the family: This family represents the bacterial glycine riboswitch. Glycine riboswitches usually consist of two metabolite-binding aptamers domains with similar structures in tandem. The record is from RNAcentral. Lineage: Bacteria; Pseudomonadati; Pseudomonadota; Alphaproteobacteria; Rhodobacterales; Roseobacteraceae.